RNAcentral lists this long non-coding RNA (228 nucleotides) under Manihot esculenta (cassava). RNAcentral's name for it is "long non-coding RNA (MESC_LNC010699)". The record is from RNAcentral. Lineage: Eukaryota; Viridiplantae; Streptophyta; Magnoliopsida; Malpighiales; Euphorbiaceae.
UGUCUCAGCACAACCAUCUUCAACCAGCUCCCAUAAAUCUUGAGACAUGAAAAGAGUCUGCAUUUUGACAAUCCAGAAGUAGUACUUUUCGCCUGUAAAUAUUGGAAUUGAUGGCUGCACUGUUGAUAAUGAAUUUGCUGCCAUAUUCACUCAGCCUCACUCACUCAAACGCCCAGAAAAGGUGAAAGAACCAGGCUUUGAUACCAAAAUUGUUGAGAUCAGAUCAAU